Molecule: long non-coding RNA, 467 nt
Filed under: Oryza brachyantha (malo sina)
Lineage: Eukaryota; Viridiplantae; Streptophyta; Magnoliopsida; Poales; Poaceae
Description: long non-coding RNA (OBRA_LNC000231)
Source: RNAcentral
GGGGUGGCGGCAACCGACGGGCGCGGUGGCAGCGGCAAACGACGGGGACGGCGACGACAACUGACGGGGCGACGCGGUGGAUCUGGCGAUGGGGCGGCGCCAGCGGGUCUUCGACGGGACGACGCCGACGGGUCUUCGACGGGGCGGUGCCGGUGGAUCUGGCGACGGAGCAGCGCCGGCGCGCCGGCGGGCCUUCAACGGAGCGAGGCUACGCUAGUUGAUCUAGCGAGUGCGGAGGAGGCACGCGCUCGCCUGGGAGGAGGCAUGGGUUCCGCACGAGCACGUGCAACGCGGGGUCACGUGCGUACGGGCGGGUGCGUGGUUGCUGCAUCCACCGAGCGAAGCUCCCCUUGCGCGUUUCUCUCAGCCAGGCCCGAAGGCCGAAUUUGCAUGUCCUCAACCAGACUUGUACAGACAACCAAACAUACUAAAGUUACGAGGGAAUGCGAGAUGGAGCUGGUGCAGAC